GCGGAAGCUACUGCUAUUGGGAUUCGAUUAAGCCAUGCAAGUCGAAUGAAUUCAUAUUCAUGGCAUACGGCUCAGUAACACGUGGAUAACUUACCCUUAGGACUGGGAUAACUUUGGGAAACUGGGGAUAAUACCGGAUAUUAGGCUAUGCCUGGAAUGGUUUGCCUUUGAAACGUUUUUUUCGCCUAAGGAUAGAUUUGCGGCUGAUUAGGUCGUUGGUGGGGUAAUGGCCCACCAAGCCUAUGAUCGGUACGGGUUGUGAGAGCAAGAGCCCGGAGAUGGAACCUGAGACAAGGUUCCAGACCCUACGGGGUGCAGCAGGCGCGAAACCUCCACAAUGUACGAAAGUGCGAUGGGGGAAUCCCAAGUGUUAUUCUUAACAGAAUAGCUUUUCAUUAGUGUAAAAAGCUUUUAGAAUCAGA
Molecule: ribosomal RNA, 422 nt
Filed under: uncultured archaeon
Lineage: Archaea
Description: SSU rRNA
Rfam family: Archaeal small subunit ribosomal RNA
Source: RNAcentral